Nicotiana tabacum (common tobacco) is the source of this 895-nucleotide non-coding RNA. Lineage: Eukaryota; Viridiplantae; Streptophyta; Magnoliopsida; Solanales; Solanaceae. The record is from RefSeq and is a predicted model, not a curated record.
UUUUGAUUAUGGAUAGCCCUAAUGUGUUUCUGAGAUCUAAUGUUCUCAUCCAGGCCAUUAGGGCUUACUGCUUAGGAAGGAUAUCAUCGAGAAGAAGAAGACGAGAAUCGACUGCGAGUCUAGGAUAUCAGUCUGCGAGUGCCGAGUCUUGACGAGAAUCGACUGCUUAGGAUAUCAGUCUACGAGUUACGACUUACGAGUUACGAUCAGUCGACAGUCGAGCUCGAGUCUCAUCUCAUCUUCACCGGUUAACUUCACUACUUUUGCGACGAUUUCUAGCUCGAUUCGAUUCCCCACUCCUCACAAAUUUCGGGCAAACGAAGUGUCGAAGACGCUGCUGUCCUGUUCCAGUGUUCCGAGCUCGAUUCAAUUUCAAUUUCAAAGGUAAAUGCUAGUGAUAGUCGUGGAAAGGCUGAUUCUAAAAUUGAGAAAGGAAUUGGUGGUAGUACUGCAAAUUCCAUAAAAGAACUUGUUAGCAAUGAAUCCCUAGGUGCUAAUAUUGGCAGAUUGCACCAUCAGAAGACUGUUCUGACUUCUGAUUAUGGAUGAGGUUGAUGGCAUGACUGCUCCUAGAUUUCCUAUUCUUUCGGAGUUGGCUCGUGAUGUGUUGGCAAUUCCAAUUUCUAGUGUGGCGACGGAAUGCGCGUUUAGCACUGGUGGUCGUAUUCUUUAUUCAUUUAGGAGUUCAUUGACUCCUAAAUGUGUGCAAGCUCUUAUUUGUGUUGCACUGUAUUUAAGUGUUAAUACUUAAGACUGUUUUUGUUGGACUGUGUUUAACUUGUUUAACUGUGUUUAAGUUGUUGGACUUGUUGGACUGUGUUAAGUGUUUAACUGUGUUUAAGUUGUUUAAUAUAGUUGUGUAAUGUGCAUUGUGCAGUUUGCUAGCUUUUGCCAA